UGCCAGCAGCCGCGGUAAUACGGAGGGACCAAGCGUUGUUCGGAAUCACUGGGCGUAAAGCGCGUGUAGGCGGUCUGGUCAGUCGGAUGUGAAAUCCCGAGGCUCAACCUCGGAACUGCAUCCGAUACUGCCAGGCUAGAGUCCCGGAGAGGGUGGCGGAAUUUCCGGUGUAGAGGUGAAAUUCGUAGAUAUCGGAAGGAACACCAGUGGCGAAGGCGGCCACCUGGACGGUGACUGACGCUGAGACGCGAAAGCGUGGGGAGCAAACAGGAUUAGAUA
RNAcentral lists this ribosomal RNA (279 nucleotides) under uncultured bacterium. RNAcentral describes it as "partial 16S ribosomal RNA". It matches the Rfam family "Bacterial small subunit ribosomal RNA", at positions 506 to 784 of the family's 1533-position model. The record is from RNAcentral.